CAAGUCGAACGCGACUUGGGCUUCGGCCUAAGUUGAGUGGCGAACGGGUGAGUAACACGUGGGUGACCUACCUUCGAGUGGGGGAUAACGUCCCGAAAGGGACGCUAAUACCGCAUAACAUCCUGCCUUUGAACAGGUGGAGAUCAAAGCCGGGGAUCGCAAGACCUGGCGCUUGAUGAGGGGCCCGCGCCUGAUUAGCUAGUUGGUGGGCUAAUGGCCUACCAAGGCGACGAUCAGUAUCCGGCCUGAGAGGGCGGACGGACACACUGGGACUGAGACACGGCCCAGACUCCUACGGGAGGCAGCAGUGGGGAAUUGUUCGCAAUGGGCGCAAGCCUGACGACGCAACGCCGCGUGGAGGAUGAAGGUCUUCGGAUUGUAAACUCCUGUUGCUCGGGACGAAAAGCUUCGACCUAACACGUCGAAGUCUGACGGUACCGAGUGAGGAAGCCCCGGCUAACUCUGUGCCAGCAGCCGCGGUAAUACAGAGGGGGCAAGCGUUGUUCGGAAUUACUGGGCGUAAAGGGCGCGUAGGCGGCCUGCUAAGUCGAACGUGAAAUCCCUGGGCUCAACCCAGGAACUGCGUCCGAUACUGGUUGGCUUGAAUCCGGGAGAGGGAUGUGGAAUUCCAGGUGUAGCGGUGAAAUGCGUAGAUAUCUGGAGGAACACCGGUGGCGAAGGCGACAUCCUGGACCGGCAUUGACGCUGAGGCGCGAAAGCCAGGGGAGCAAACGGGAUUAGAUACCCCGGUAGUCCUGGCCCUAAACGAUGAAUGCUUGGUGUGGUGGGUAUCGAUCCCUACCGUGCC
This 808-nucleotide ribosomal RNA is filed under the name uncultured Bacillota bacterium. Its description in RNAcentral is "bacterial SSU rRNA". It matches the Rfam family "Bacterial small subunit ribosomal RNA", at positions 58 to 847 of the family's 1533-position model. Lineage: Bacteria; Bacillati; Bacillota. The record is from RNAcentral.